Chlorocebus sabaeus (green monkey) is the source of this 2675-nucleotide non-coding RNA. The record is from RefSeq and is a predicted model, not a curated record. NCBI's taxonomy places the organism in Eukaryota, Metazoa, Chordata, Mammalia, Primates, Cercopithecidae.
GCUGCGAGGUCUGUAGCUCGGAAUAGGGGAUGGCGACAUCCAGACCCGGCCAGCCUUGGGGAAGGGUGCGUCGUGGAGGCAGGACUGGAGGCUGGCGAUACGAGGCGGCAGUGGGGCCUUGACCCAAUGGAUCAUGAGGGCGGAGGGCUUCUGGCGAUUGGUUACCUGGUUCCUGGGAUUCUCUUUAAUUGUUCCUUAUUGCCCAGAGAUAGCUUGUCCCGUGCUGGUCUCCGAGGUUGCAGCUGUUUUCCCAGAUGUGUUCCCUGCGCAGGGUCUGGUAAUCCUUUUUUUAUUGAGAAUUUGAAUGAAUGGUCACUGAGCCUAGGGGCCGAGACAGGGGUGUGAAAUCGUAGAUCUGGUCUCAACCCCUCACGUUCCCUGUCUGAGAGCCCAGACUGCAAGCUGAUGGCUUUCAGCUGCUUCUCUCUCUCAAGUGGGAGGUGAGGUCUUCAGGCUUUAUUUCAAGCUGGGUCAUCUCUUCUUCACAGUUAUUUUCCUUACUUUUCAGCCAAGAUUCACUCUCUACUCCUUCGUCACCCAUCCCAACUUCUCAUCCUGAACCCACCCCUCUUGCCGCCCGCUCAGCUCCGCUGGUUUCCCGGUCAGAAACCUAAAUUGCCUAAAUAGUAGUAAGAAGGGUGCUGCGACCCUGCGAAGUGAGCAGAUAUCAAACAAAGAAUUACUGUGUACAAAGCCAGAACAAAUAUAUCAAAGUAAUCCUGAAGUAUCAGAACAAAAUAAUACGCUGUAACAGAAGGAAAUGAUUUUGAAUAGCCUCUCUCUGUGUUAUCAUAAUAAGCUAAUCCUGGCCCCAAUGGUUCGGGUAGGGACUCUUCCAAUGAGACUGCUGGCCUUGGAUUAUGGAGCGGACAUUGUUUACUGUGAGGAGCUGAUCGACCUCAAGAUGAUUCAGUGCAAGAGAGUUGUCAAUGAGGUGCUCAGCACAGUGGACUUUGUCGCCCCUGAUGAUCGAGUUGUCUUCCGCACCUGUGAAAGAGAGCAGAACAGGGUGGUCUUCCAGAUGGGGACUUCAGACGCAGAGCGAGCCCUUGCUGUGGCCAGGCUUGUAGAAAAUGAUGUGGCUGGCAUUGACGUCAACAUGGGCUGUCCAAAAGAAUAUUCCACCAAGGGGGGAAUGGGAGCUGCUCUGCUGUCAGACCCUGACAAGAUUGAGAAGAUCCUCAGCACUCUUGUUAAAGGGAUACGCAGACCUGUGACCUGCAAGAUUCGCAUCCUGCCGUCGCUAGAAGAUACUCUGAGCCUUGUGAAGCGGAUAGAGAGGACUGGCAUUGCUGCCAUCGCAGUUCAUGGGAGGAAGCGGGAGGAGCGACCUCAGCAUCCUGUCAGCUGUGAAGUCAUCAAAGCCAUUGCUGAUACCCUCUCCAUUCCUGUCAUAGCCAACGGAGGAUCUCAUGACCACAUCCAAUGCUAUUCGGACAUAGAGGACUUUCGACAAGCCACGGCAGCCUCUUCUGUGAUGGUGGCCCGAGCAGCCAUGUGGAACCCAUCUAUAUUCCUCAAGGAGGGUCUGCGGCCCCUGGAGGAGGUCAUGCAGAAAUACAUCAGAUAUGGGGAAGUUAGAGGCUAUUCAAGAUGUGGGAAGGGAAGGUGCCCAUUCUGGUUAGAAGGAAUAGAAGAACCUCAACCCCUUUCCCAGCACUGGACCUGCCAUGCCAGAAUUUGGCGGUGCAGUAUGACAACCACUACACCAACACCAAGUACUGCUUGUGCCAGAUGCUACGAGAACAGCUGGAGUCGCCCCAGGGAAGGUUGCUCCAUGCUGCCCAGUCUUCCCGGGAAAUUUGUGAGGCCUUUGGCCUUGGUGCCUUCUAUGAGGAGACCACACAGGAGCUGGAUGCCCAGCGGGCCAAGCUGUCAGCCAGGACUUCAGAGGGGACAGGGGAGCCAGCUGAAGAUACCUCUGGUGUCAUUAAGAUGGCUGUCAAGUUUGACCGGAGAGCAUACCCAGCCCAGAUCACCCCCAAGAUGUGCCUACUAGAGUGGUGCCGGAGGGAGAAGUUGGCACAGCCUGUGUAUGAAACGGUUCAACGCCCUCUAGAUCGCCUGUUCUCCUCUAUUGUCACCGUUGCUGAACAAAAGUAUCAAUCUACCUUGUGGGACAAGUCCAAGAAACUGGCGGAGCAGGCUGCAGCCAUCGUCUGUCUGCGGAGCCAGGGCCUCCCUGAGGGUCGGCUGGGUGAGGAGAGCCCUUCCUUGCACAAGCGAAAGAGGGAGGCUCCUGACCAAGACCCUGGGGGCCCCAGAGCUCAGGAGCUAGCACAACCUGGGGAGCUGUGCAAGAAGCCCUUUGUGGCCUUAGGAAGUGGUGAAGAGAGCCCUCUGGAAGGCUGGUGACUACUCUUCCUGCCCUAGUCACCCCCUCCAUGGGCCUGGUGCUAAGGUGGCUGUGGAUGCCACAGCAUGAACCAGAUGCUGGUCUUGCCUGGCAGGAGUUAGAUGUCCUGGCAGGGGCCAUCAGCCUAGAGCAUGGACCAGGGGCCACCCAAGGGUGGAUCCUGGCCCCUUUGGUGGAUCUGAGUGACAGGGUCAAAUUCUCUUUGCAAACAGGAGCUUUUCAGGUGGUACCUCCCCAACCUGACAUUGGUACUGUGCAAUAAAGACACCCCCUACCCUCACCCAUGGCUGGCUGCUUCAGCCUUGGGCAUCUUCAUAAA